GGAUCCAGACUUUGAUCAUGGCUCAGGACGAACGCUGGCGGCGCGCCUAACACAUGCAAGUCGAACGGAGCUUAGAGAGCUUGCUUUUUAAGCUUAGUGGCGAACGGGUGAGUAACGCGUGAGUAACCUGCCCUAGAGUGGGGGACAACAGUUGGAAACGACUGCUAAUACCGCAUAAGCCCACGGUACCGCAUGGUACUGAGGGAAAAGGAUUUAUUCGCUUUAGGAUGGACUCGCGUCCAAUUAGCUAGUUGGUGAGGUAACGGCCCACCAAGGCGACGAUUGGUAGCCGGACUGAGAGGUUGAACGGCCACAUUGGGACUGAGACACGGCCCAGACUCCUACGGGAGGCAGCAGUGGGGGAUAUUGCACAAUGGGGGAAACCCUGAUGCAGCGACGCCGCGUGGAGGAAGAAGGUUUUCGGAUUGUAAACUCCUGUCGUUAGGGACGAUAAUGACGGUACCUAACAAGAAAGCACCGGCUAACUACGUGCCAGCAGCCGCGGUAAAACGUAGGGUGCAAGCGUUGUCCGGAAUUACUGGGUGUAAAGGGAGCGCAGGCGGGAAGACAAGUUGGAAGUGAAAACCAUGGGCUCAACCCAUGAAUUGCUUUCAAAACUGUUUUUCUUGAGUAGUGCAGAGGUAGAUGGAAUUCCCGGUGUAGCGGUGGAAUGCGUAGAUAUCGGGAGGAACACCAGUGGCGAAGGCGGUCUACUGGGCACCAACUGACGCUGAGGCUCGAAAGCAUGGGUAGCAAACAGGAUUAGAUACCCUGGUAGUCCAUGCCGUAAACGAUGAUACUAGGUGUUGGGGGAUUGACCCCCUCAGUGCCGCAGUUAACACAAUAAGUAAUCCACCUGGGGAGUACGACCGUCAAGGUUGCAACUCAAAUGAAUUGACGG
This 901-nucleotide ribosomal RNA is filed under the name uncultured Bacillota bacterium. Its description in RNAcentral is "bacterial SSU rRNA". It matches the Rfam family "Bacterial small subunit ribosomal RNA", at positions 1 to 916 of the family's 1533-position model. The record is from RNAcentral. Lineage: Bacteria; Bacillati; Bacillota.